Pan paniscus (pygmy chimpanzee) is the source of this 97-nucleotide small nuclear RNA. Lineage: Eukaryota; Metazoa; Chordata; Mammalia; Primates; Hominidae. The record is from Ensembl.
GUGCUUGCUUCGGCAGCACAUAUACUAAAAUUGGAAUGAUAGAAGAUUAGCAUGGACUCUGAAAAAAAGUCAAUUAAAAAAAAUGGAUUACUUGCUA